UACAGAGACUGCAAGCGUUAUUCGGAUUCACUGGGCGUAAAGGGUGCGCAGGCGGCCAAGUGUGUGAGGCGUGAAAGCCCGGGGCUUAACCCCGGAAUUGCACCUCAAACUACUUGGCUAGAGCAUUGGAGAGGGUAGCAGAAUUCAUGGUGUAGCAGUGAAAUGCGUAGAUAUCAUGAGGAAUACCAGAGGCGAAGGCGACUACCUGGACAAUUGCUGACGCUCAGGCACGAAAGCGUGGGGAGCAAAAGGG
This 253-nucleotide ribosomal RNA is filed under the name uncultured bacterium. RNAcentral describes it as "partial 16S ribosomal RNA". It matches the Rfam family "Bacterial small subunit ribosomal RNA", at positions 524 to 776 of the family's 1533-position model. The record is from RNAcentral.